This is a long non-coding RNA of Pocillopora verrucosa, 1313 nucleotides long. RefSeq lists it as uncharacterized. The record is from RefSeq and is a predicted model, not a curated record. Lineage: Eukaryota; Metazoa; Cnidaria; Anthozoa; Scleractinia; Pocilloporidae.
CGUGGUAGGUUUGCGUAGAUCUGCGAAAGUUGUCGCGUUCCGUUCCACCUCUUUCUCGUCGAUAGCACUGGUUGGUGUUCAUUAAUUAUGUUCCGUCUACCUGGAGUUGAUGGAUCACCUGAUAGGGCUGCUGUGGAGGCAGAAAAGAGGAAAGCUAAACAAAAUGUUUCGUUCACAAUGAAAGUCUUUGUAGCCUACGUGGCGUUUUUACGCUUAGCUCCUUAUGCAUACAAAGCCUUUGCUGGAUAGUUCCGGUGGCUUGAGGGAACCCUGUGGUUCAUGAAUCAUGUUUGUUUCUAUGUUGUGGAUGUGGUUUUCUAAACAACGAUCUUCAUUAUGUUUGGCACUCUGGUUUGUCUAUGCAUCAUUUCUUUAAGAACAUCUGAUUCCAAUCCAGUGGUGAAAUCUUGAAGACAGUGCAGAAUUAAAGUAUGGUUCAAGAAAACGGAUGUUCAUCAGCUAAAUGACUGCAUAGUGUGGUUUUCAAGAACUCAAACCUGUAAACCUCAUACAUCAUGGAUGAGUUGUGAAAACUAUUUUACUGUUUUGUUCAUUAGGGAAAAGCUAAUUUGUGUUUUUAGGGAGUCAAAUUUUUUUAGCAAUAUCAUUGUGUCUGUGGAGGUGGGUGGUCUGAUAAAACAUUGUUAGAUCAGAUCACUCUUAUGUUAAAUACUUGUUGACUCUUAUGACCUGCAGUACUUAACCCUUUAACUCCCAAGAUUUCAUGACUAAUUCUCCUUACUGUCUGCCAUUCAACUUAUGUGAUGCUAGUUGGAGAAUUUAGAAUUGGAUCAACCAGUAGUUGCCCAAUUGAUAUUUUUUUUAUUCUCAUUCUUGUCUGCUUGAUAUCAUACUGAUAAUGUAAGGAGAAAUUCUGUCUUGGUCACUAGGGGGACUUAAAGGGUUAAACAGAAAACAAAAUUCGAAAGGAGAUGAAUCAUGGUAAAAAGAUUGUUGUUUAUUAUUUACCAAACAGAUUUCAAAGAUUUUGUCCAACCAUGAUUGGUUUUAUAAAUGUACACACAAGUAUUUCAAAGACAUUUUAUAUAACUUAGCACUUACUAAAUAACUGUAAAUUAGAGUGCAUGCCUUGCUGAAACAUUUAUUUGCUAUUCUACCAAGUUUUUUAAAAGCAGCAGACUAAAAGCAAUAAAAAAGUUACAAAUAGAAUUGAAAAGUUUAAAAGAAAAGAAGUCUUUGUCUUAGCAAUAACCAUGGAUUGAAUGUUACAAGACUGUGAAGAUGAAUCUCACCACUCCAUAACUCUUACAAAAAGCAUUAUAUUCAAUAAAAUGAGGCUACCUUUUAAAAUU